RNAcentral lists this ribosomal RNA (253 nucleotides) under uncultured bacterium. Its description in RNAcentral is "partial 16S ribosomal RNA". It matches the Rfam family "Bacterial small subunit ribosomal RNA", at positions 524 to 776 of the family's 1533-position model. The record is from RNAcentral.
AACGUAGGGGGCAAGCGUUGCUCGGAUUCACUGGGUGUAAAGGGCGCGUAGGCGGAUAAACAAGUCGGAUGUGAAAUCCCGGGGCUCAACCCCGGAACUGCAUCCGAAACUGUUUAUCUGGAGUAGUGGAGAGGAAAGCGGAACUCCUGGUGUAACGGUGAAAUGUGUAGAUAUCAGGAGGAACGCCGAUAGCGAAGGCAGCUUUCUGGACACUUACUGACGCUGAGGCGCGAAAGCGUGGGGAGCAAACAGG